RNAcentral lists this transfer RNA (75 nucleotides) under Sargassum patens. RNAcentral's name for it is "tRNA-Met". It matches the Rfam family "tRNA". From Rfam's summary of the family: Transfer RNA (tRNA) molecules are approximately 80 nucleotides in length. Their secondary structure includes four short double-helical elements and three loops (D, anti-codon, and T loops). Lineage: Eukaryota; Phaeophyceae; Fucales; Sargassaceae. The record is from RNAcentral.
UGCGUUAUAGAGCAGCUAGGUUAGCUCACUAGGCUCAUGCCCUGGAGGUCGUAGGUUCAAAUCCUGCUGACGCUA